UACGUAGGGUGCAAGCGUUGUCCGGAAUUAUUGGGCGUAAAGAGCUCGUAGGCGGUUUGUCGCGUCUGCUGUGAAAACCCGAGGCUCAACCUCGGGCCUGCAGUGGGUACGGGCAGACUAGAGUGCGGUAGGGGAGAUUGGAAUUCCUGGUGUAGCGGUGAAAUGCGCAGAUAUCAGGAGGAACACCAAUGGCGAAGGCAGAUCUCUGGGCCGUAACUGACGCUGAGGAGCGAAAGCAUGGGGAGCGAACAGG
RNAcentral lists this ribosomal RNA (253 nucleotides) under uncultured bacterium. RNAcentral describes it as "partial 16S ribosomal RNA". It matches the Rfam family "Bacterial small subunit ribosomal RNA", at positions 524 to 776 of the family's 1533-position model. The record is from RNAcentral.